This is an RNA transcript of Mangifera indica (mango), 3799 nucleotides long. It is a transcript of the gene named protein RIK-like, with no coding region annotated. The record is from RefSeq and is a predicted model, not a curated record. The transcript is spliced from 12 exons. NCBI's taxonomy places the organism in Eukaryota, Viridiplantae, Streptophyta, Magnoliopsida, Sapindales, Anacardiaceae.
AACCAAACCAAUUAGACCCUGAUCCAGCGCUAGAACCAAGCCCUUAUUGUUAAGAGCCAUAAGAACGUAGGUCCUCCUUUUAAUAAUUCUUGUUUAGACGUCAUCCAUGGACUUGAAUGACGUGGCGCAUGUACAUACAUUGGUUAUCAACGUCGGUUCAAAACGAUUCUCGUCAAUUCCGCCACAUCAACCACCGUCUUUACCUAACAGGACGACCGCCGACAACUACUCUUUUAGCUCAUAAAACUCAACGAAUCAUCAUCACCACCCACCGCGCGAUUGUUGUCAGUUUGUCGCUGAUUUAUUAAAUUCUAACGCCAAUCAGAUCAUGACAGAAGACAGGUCUCCUAGGGUUUCCUCCGACCACUCCGCCCACUCCACUGACGCCUUUCAAACUAAGCAAAGGAAAAAGAGGAAGUGGGAUCAGCCUGCGGAGUCAUUAGUUAGCUACCCAUUGGGCAAUAUGGGAUCCCUUGUUGAUGUUCCACUGCCGAGCAUGGCUCCAUCUUUCUCUGCUGCUGCUGCAGCCUUUAUGAAAAAUCCACCAGCGGCUAGUGGUGUAGCCGUUCCGCCGAUGGCACUUCAGGGCCCUUCCAUGCUGAAGUUAAAUCAGCCUAAGAUUCAAGAUGAGUUAAUAAUUGCACGAGAAAUCGUUAUAAAUGAUGCUGAAUCUUCUGUUCGCUACAAACUUACUAGACGCCAAACACAGGAAGAGAUUCAGAAAUGCACUGGUGCUGUGGUAAUAACUAGGGGUAAAUUUCGUCCACCAAAUACACCACCUGAUGGAGAAAAGCCAUUAUAUCUUCACAUAUCUUCAGGGGCUCAUUUGAAGGAGACGGCAGAAAGAAUUUUGGCGGUUGAUCGUGCAGCUGCCAUGGUUGAAGAAAUGCUGAAACAGGGUCAGGAUAGUUUUCCCACUUUGCAAAGUAUGAGCAACGGCGUGAAGGAACUCAGCACAUGUGUUUUUUUGAGCUUUGAUCCUGAUCCAUCAUUGAAUAUUGCUGCUCGAAUUCGUGGACCAAAUGACCAGUAUAUAAAUCACAUUAUGAAUGAAACAGGAGCAACUGUCUUAUUGAGAGGGCGUGGUUCUGGUAACUUUGAAGGCCUGCACAGCGAAGGUGUGCAUCAACCAUUGCAUUUAUUCUUGUCCAGUAGCAAUUCUAAAAGUCUGGAAGAUGCAAAGCGUUUGGCUGAAAAUCUUUUGGAUACAAUCAGUGUAGAGUGUGGUGCCUCCAGGGUUUCAUCAUUCAAAGUCUAUAAUGCAGUUCCACCCCCACAGCAGUUAUUGUCUGGCACUCAGAGUUGUGGGAAUGAGCAAAUACUAAAUGCAAGUUCUGGUUCUGGAUUGACAUCAACAGUUAGCAUUGAACCAGUUCCAGCAGUUUCUUCUGUUACCACCCCUGGGGUUGCUACUCUCUCUUCUCAAGACACUCUUGUACAGGCUGGAGGAAUGAUGAACUGUGCCCAGCCCCAACAAAAUAUGGUUGGUUACCCGCAGCCUGUAUUAACUGGAGGAACAAGCUAUAGUGGAUAUGAAGGGAUAUAUCCUCAGGCAACACCUUUACAGCAGGUUGCCCUAGCCCUCAGACAUUCAUCUUCUCCCAUCACCUCAGCAGUUGCUCCAACAUCAGUUGCAGAAUCAACAACAAAAUCAAAUAUUAGUUCCACAUCUGAGAAGGAGAAACGGCCUCCACAGAAGAGAAAGUUUCAGGAGUUACCAGUUGGUGCCAAGGGCCCUGUAAAACUCAACCAGUAACUGAGGCUGAGAGGGAGAGGAAGUGGAAGAUGGUGGAUUUGGAACGUAAAGAUACAUAAACUUGUAUGAUAGUAUUAAAUGAUUGUUAAAAGGGAAAAUAAUAAUAGCUAGUAAAAUUAUUAUUUAGAGUGAGAGAAAGAGGGAGUAAUAGUUGGAUCCAGAAAGGUAAUUAUAUCAGCACCCUCUGCCACUAUUACAUGAAAAAUAUUUUAGGUUCUGGUGUAGAGUUAUGAUUCUGAAUUAUUUAUGCACAUUUUGUUUAAUACUGGAUGAAAUUUUUUUUACCAAUUUUAUUUAUAACCUAACAGAUGGAUGCAUCAGUGAGUCUAUGUGCAUCUGUAAGCGCAUUUGCUUUUUUGAUUUCUUUACUUUUUUAUCAAUUAUCAUCCUGAAAAAUAUUAAUCAAGAGAACAGCUACAUUAGGGAAUACUUUUGAUGCAAUGCUGUUUUGCAUUUAUUCUCCCUUAAAUUGCAUUCAUAUUUUUUUUGCUGACAUUCUCUGCUUAAUGUUCCAGGUAUUUUCUUUGACCUUCUAAGAAGCUAACAGGCUGAUUCCGUACCUCUGUUUGGGCCAUUGGUUUGUAUGUUUAACAGGAUUUAUAGUUUUGGAGCCUGUACUGAUGAUGGGUCUUUGCUGCUUCAGAGCCUUGAUGAGGGGCUAAUUCAAGAUUUUUAUUUCUGUUGAUUGAUUUAUUUCUGCUGCUGCCAGUUCCCUUGUUUUUUCCUUUUCUUUUGAAUGCGGGCAUGAUGAUAGUUGCAUAAUCAGUUGCAAGAUUGCAUGCUAUGCUUGUCAACCACCAGAAGUCAACGAACUGACCACACUGGAAACAUUGGUUUUUUGAACAACUUUUUACAAAUACACACUGAACUUAAAUAUUUUUAUCAAGUUAUGAUUAAAAAAAUAUUGCAAUAUGUCUCAAUCUUAGAUCUCAGAAAUAGGGUUCUUCCCUACCUAAUUCUUUUGGUACCCCUAUACUUGAUUUGAAAAUGUUAAGCUUAUACUCUGACCUAUUUGACCCAGAAUCCUAUAUGCUAACUGCACAAUCAAGUUAAACAGCAUUUAGUGAUUUGAAUAUUCUCCCCAUGUGUAAAAGUUCUCUCUACAUUAGUCCCACCCUCAUCAUGUUUCCAUGGUUUUAAUUUUUCACUGCUUUGUGGACAUUUUAUAUAUUCAAGUCCUAUUGUCAUUGAGAAAUUAGGAUUGGGUUUUCUUUAUAUAACUUGUUGCAGGGACCAGAACUAUACCCAAGUGAACUAUCAGGCAAUGUGGAGGUGAGAAAUGUAUCAAAUAUGCCAGCUCCAAAAAGGUUGGUCCAGUCAUCAGUCAAUGGAAUGCCCCCUCCACCUCCAAGAAUCAUGCCCCCCCCACCACCACCGAAAUUUACUUCAUCAACACCUCUUCCUAAAUUUCAGGACAAGGGCAGAAGUUUGAAUAAAACACAUUUUGAAAAUAUCCCUGAUACUCUGGUCAAGCUGAUGGAAUAUGGUGAAGAUGAUGAUGACCUGGAGGAAACUGGCAAAGAAUCCCUUACCUCUGACUCCUCAUUUAGUCUCAACUCAGACAAAGUAAAUGUUAGAAAACCGUUUUGGGCUUUAUGAUUUAUUCAGCUGGUGGAUUAUUGGAAGCAGUGGUGCUUUUUCAGGGCUUUGUUCUAAUCAUAUAUAAGUGGAGCUUGUGUGUGUAUAAUGUGGGAUGGGAGCAUGUAACAAAGCCAUGCGUCGUAUAAUUAUUUUGUUGCUAGAUGACAUUCCUAGGGUUUGAAUGUUACAGUUUUGGCUGUAACUGUGGUUUAGGAAGGCGUGGAGGAUUGUUGUAUUGUCUUGGCUUAGGUGUACAUUAGUAGUUUUUCCAUUAUCUUGCUGUGAGGACUUGGGAGUAUAGUUUUUUAAUCAUCUGCCAACUUGCUUGGUGACCAAAGUUUUGGCAGAAGAUUCAGGAAUGAUAGUCUUGCUGUGAAAAUAUCUUAAGCAAAAUCACAGUAGUCUGUUUAGAAUUUUGAGUUUAAUUCAAUGCGGACUAAUACUAGCUAUCCUCUUUUACAA